CUCCAAGGUGCUGAGUUCAGUUCAGGAGAGCUUCCCGUUCUGUUAAUUAAACUUUGGGACGUUGAAAGUACCUAAGGGAAAUAACUGAAUAGAGUAUAAUACACUAUUCAUAUACUUCCAAGUCCACACCA
Molecule: small nucleolar RNA, 131 nt
Filed under: Meriones unguiculatus (Mongolian gerbil)
Lineage: Eukaryota; Metazoa; Chordata; Mammalia; Rodentia; Muridae
Source: RNAcentral